RNAcentral lists this ribosomal RNA (253 nucleotides) under uncultured bacterium. Its description in RNAcentral is "partial 16S ribosomal RNA". It matches the Rfam family "Bacterial small subunit ribosomal RNA", at positions 524 to 776 of the family's 1533-position model. The record is from RNAcentral.
UACAGAGGUCCCAAGCGUUGUUCGGAUUCAUUGGGCGUAAAGGGUGCGUAGGCGGCGCGGUAAGUCGGGUGUGAAAUCCCAGAGCUCAACUCUGGAACUGCCUUUGAUACUGUCGAUCUGGAGUAUGGAAGAGGUGAGUGGAAUUCCGAGUGUAGAGGUGAAAUUCGUAGAUAUUCGGAGGAACACCAGUGGCGAAGGCGGCUCACUGGUCCAUUACUGACGCUGAGGUGCGAAAGCGUGGGGAGCAAACAGG